UGUGGAUUAAUUCGAUGCAACGCGAAAAACCUUACCUACCCUUGACAUGUACGGAAUCCUGCUGAGAGGUGGGAGUGCUCGAAAGAGAACCGUAACACAGGUGCUGCAUGGCUGUCGUCAGCUCGUGUCGUGAGAUGUUGGGUUAAGUCCCGCAACGAGCGCAACCCUUGUCCUUAGUUGCUACGCAAGAGCACUCUAAGGAGACUGCCGGUGACAAACCGGAGGAAGGUGGGGAUGACGUCAAGUCCUCAUGGCCCUUAUGGGUAGGGCUUCACACGUCAUACAAUGGUCGGUACAGAGGGCUGCCAAACCGCGAGGUGGAGCUAACCCCAGAAAACCGAUCGUAGUCCG
RNAcentral lists this ribosomal RNA (351 nucleotides) under Pandoraea sp. FES30. RNAcentral's name for it is "bacterial SSU rRNA". It matches the Rfam family "Bacterial small subunit ribosomal RNA", at positions 940 to 1295 of the family's 1533-position model. The record is from RNAcentral. Lineage: Bacteria; Pseudomonadati; Pseudomonadota; Betaproteobacteria; Burkholderiales; Burkholderiaceae.